This 287-nucleotide ribosomal RNA is filed under the name uncultured bacterium. RNAcentral describes it as "partial 16S ribosomal RNA". It matches the Rfam family "Bacterial small subunit ribosomal RNA", at positions 773 to 1060 of the family's 1533-position model. The record is from RNAcentral.
GUGGAUUAGAUACCCUGGUAGUCCACGCCGUAAACGGUGGGCGCUAGGUGUGGGGAACAUUCCACGUUCUCCGUGCCGCAGCUAACGCAUUAAGCGCCCCGCCUGGGGAGUACGGCCGCAAGGCUAAAACUCAAAGGAAUUGACGGGGGCCCGCACAAGCGGCGGAGCAUGCGGCUUAAUUCGAUGCAACGCGAAGAACCUUACCUGGGUUUGACAUAUGGGGAAAACUGGCAGAGAUGUCAGGUCCGCAAGGGCCCCAUACAGGUGGUGCACGGCUGUCGACAACU